CGUGGCUCUCACGUGAGCAGGAGCUAGACAUUUGCAGACGUCCUUCUAAUCCUGGUCUUCGUUUGGUCCGGUUGCCAUCUCCCUUUUACCUCGAAGGCGGGCGGGCUUGUGGCCAGGAGAAGAGGAGGAGGAGGAGCCAUCCCAUCUCUGCCGUGUCGCCUGUCUGUGUCUGUGGAUCUUGCGCCUGAAGGCCAGUUCAACCCUAGGAGCAGGAAGAAGAGGAAAAUUGCCCUGAAACAGGGAAGGAGUUGUGGCAGUCACCUUCCAAGGAAAUCGGUGUUACUCCAGGCCAGAAAUCGAAGGAAGAAACUGCCUGGACCUGUGCGGGUGUAUGUGGGGGUGCCUCUGCCCCCGGGACAUCUGCAGGGGCAGGGGAGGUAGGGAACUGAUUAGUUGUCGUAAAUUUAACGUACUGGAGUGGGGUAGUUGAAGAGGACGUUGGAGAAUCUGGAGGUGGGGAAACUUCCAAAAUUCCUGAUUGA
This 482-nucleotide long non-coding RNA is filed under the name Bos mutus (wild yak). RNAcentral's name for it is "lncRNA (ENSBMUG00000011574.1)". Lineage: Eukaryota; Metazoa; Chordata; Mammalia; Artiodactyla; Bovidae. The record is from RNAcentral.